AUGAGAACAAGUACCUCCUCGACCACCUGCUCGUCGCCGGCCUGCACGCACUGCGCCGCUCGACACCUUCGUCUCCAGCUCUGGCAUGGCCGAAUCAGAGCCCGCCGCCUCCUUCUCCACCAGAUCCGCCGCAGCAGCUGCAGCUCCAGCGACUGCCAUGGACGCAUCGGUUGUAGCAUCUCCCGCCCCGCCGUGGACGCAGGCAACUUCCUGCAUGGCAUCUGGCGCGGUCCCGCGACCUUCUCCCCCAGCAUAUCUCCGGCCGAAGCGGAUGCAGCGCCACAACCGUCCUCCAUCGAAGCCGAAAACAAGCGGCCGGACUGA
This 324-nucleotide ribosomal RNA is filed under the name Triticum aestivum (bread wheat). Its description in RNAcentral is "partial small subunit ribosomal RNA". Lineage: Eukaryota; Viridiplantae; Streptophyta; Magnoliopsida; Poales; Poaceae. The record is from RNAcentral.